This 329-nucleotide long non-coding RNA is filed under the name Physcomitrium patens. Its description in RNAcentral is "long non-coding RNA (PPAT_LNC000160)". The record is from RNAcentral. Lineage: Eukaryota; Viridiplantae; Streptophyta; Bryopsida; Funariales; Funariaceae.
CCUUAAGAAUUUCAAGAAGAGGGGUAAUCCACUCUCUCCAAGAAGAAUAAGACUCCAAUAUUGUAACAGAAGAAGUAUCAGUUUAGAGGAGGGUAAUCCGCAACCUCUAAAAAAUGCUAGUAUACCUUCAAGUAAAGGGAUAAUCCACACUCUACUAAGAAAGAACUAGCUCUGAUAUCUCAAGUUAGUGUAGUCUUGACAAACUGUCACGGAUACAAAAUACAGACUUGAAAUCUAACAAGAAGUUCAAGAAGAAGUGGCAGAACUAGAUUAAACAGAUGAGUACAAGAACAACACCAGAAAGGUGAGCUAGAACUCCAAGAGAUGUG